CACACACAUCAGCUGCGCCUAUCCUCCUUUCUCUCUCUAUGGCUCCCUCUCUCGUCUCUCCCUCUCUGUUCGGCUGAGGGCGGCGCCGCCUUCGGCGCGCCGCCUCGCCGUCGCCUCCGCUCUCUCUCUCACAAGACUGCCGGAACAAGGUACAGCAGACGCACGCCGCUGUCAAAGCGGUGCGCCGCCGCCGCUGCCUCCGUCGUCCUUGCAGCAGAUCCGCUGCCGCGUCAAGACCACGGCCACCGCCUUUCCUCCCUCUCUAACUCUCACCCUCGUCUCGAUCUCUCUCUGGGCCGACGAACGACGUAAAACGCCGCCGCCUCCCCCUCUUUCGGUCGAUCCAGCAGCCCUAAUGGCUACCGCCGCCGUCGUCCUUGUCUUCCUCUGAUUUCCGGCGAAGCAACCCCCGCGGUGCCGCCGCCGUUCAGCAGGUAAACCCUAACUCCCUCUCUACUUUCCUCAUCUUCUUCCCCUUUCAAAUUAAAACUGAAAACCCCUCUCUCCUUUCCGAUUUGGCUGAAACAAAGCAACGGCGACGUCGCUGCUAUCACGUUACCGCCGCCGCCGACGUCGACGAGCCACCAUAGCUCCGCCGCCGGCCGCCGUCUGAAACCAGGUAACCCUAAUUUCCCUUCUCUCCUUUCCAUUUUCUCCUACCACCUUCUUCAUUUUAAUUAAAAGCUGAAAACCCUCUCCUCUUUCCCCUUCUUGGCAGAACAGAACCAAGGCUCCGCCGCCUCUCGUCGACCACCGGCAGCCACCGCGGCUGCCGUCCCCCUGACCUCGACUCACACAUACAAAAACAGGGACUCAAGCCUCACAUUCAGUUCAUAAAAUAGCAAAUAGGAUUUGUGCAAUUUCAGUUCACAUGUAACAUAUCUUGUAUCUGUAAAUUAUGAAUUUGCUACUCAUUUUCUUCAUUUAUCAAAGCAUAUGUAAAUCUGAGUUAAUGAGCAUGUGUUGG
This 967-nucleotide long non-coding RNA is filed under the name Salvia miltiorrhiza (redroot sage). Its description in RNAcentral is "long non-coding RNA (SMIL_LNC006898)". The record is from RNAcentral. Lineage: Eukaryota; Viridiplantae; Streptophyta; Magnoliopsida; Lamiales; Lamiaceae.